CCUACGGGAGGCAGCAGUGAGGAAUAUUGGUCAAUGGACGAGAGUCUGAACCAGCCAAGUAGCGUGAAGGAUGACUGCCCUAUGGGUUGUAAACUUCUUUUAUAUGGGAAUAAAAUGUUCCACGUGUGGGAUUUUGUAUGUACCAUAUGAAUAAGGAUCGGCUAACUCCGUGCCAGCAGCCGCGGUAAUACGGAGGAUCCGAGCGUUAUCCGGAUUUUUUGGGGUUAAAGGGAGCGUAGGGGGAUUGUUAAGUCCGUUGUGAAAGUUUGCGGCUUAAACGUAAAAUUGCAGUUGAAACUGGCAGUCUUGAGUACAGUAGAGGUGGGCGGAAUGCGUGGUGUAGCGGUGAAAUGCUUAGAUAUCACGAAGAACUCCGAUUGCGAAGGCAGUUCACUGGACUGCAACUGACACUGAGGCUCGAAAGUGUGGGUAUCAAACAGGAUUAGAUACCCCAGUAGUC
RNAcentral lists this ribosomal RNA (460 nucleotides) under uncultured bacterium. RNAcentral's name for it is "partial 16S ribosomal RNA". It matches the Rfam family "Bacterial small subunit ribosomal RNA", at positions 338 to 795 of the family's 1533-position model. The record is from RNAcentral.